This 32-nucleotide non-coding RNA is filed under the name Homo sapiens (human). Lineage: Eukaryota; Metazoa; Chordata; Mammalia; Primates; Hominidae. The record is from RNAcentral.
AUGUCCUAAGCUAUUCCCUGUGACUGGUGUCA